RNAcentral lists this long non-coding RNA (1053 nucleotides) under Setaria viridis. RNAcentral describes it as "long non-coding RNA (SVIR_LNC001481)". The record is from RNAcentral. Lineage: Eukaryota; Viridiplantae; Streptophyta; Magnoliopsida; Poales; Poaceae.
UGUUUUUCUUUGUGGUAAGCCGUAGGUAGGCGCUUGGGAUGCCAGGAAGCUAUAGAGGUAGUCGAAGGGGUGGGUUGUGCCGUCGUCGUGCUUAGUCACGGCCGGCCGUUAGCUCCGCCGCCCGCCGCCGUGGAGAGGAUGGCUCCGGCCACCUCCCGGGGAGCUACCGCCGCGCAUGGGCGCGCUAGGGCAUGGGGAUGCUUCCCCAGCCUAGCCCCGUCGCCGGUGGGGCGCCGGCCGGCGAGCCGCGCCGCCCCCUACCGCGCUCGGGUUUUGGCGCGAGAAAGAAGAAGGCUCUGGUGUUUGCGGGCCCACGCAUCAGAGGAGAAAGGGGAGGAAGGAAGCCGGCCGGGCGGAGAAGUCAGGUGGGCCGGGGUCCGGUUGGCCCAGGCUCCGGUGCGGGGAAAGGGUCGGUAAGGGAAAAAGGCCGGGGGCCUGUAGGGUCCAGCAGGCCGAUGGGCUAGUAGGGCAGGCCGAAAGUCGCGCGAAAGAAAGAAAGGAGGGAGUUGAGUCGCUGGGCUGAAUCAAGAAAAGGAAAGAGGAGAGGAGAAGGAAAUCGGCCCAGUGAGCCCAGCAGUGGAGAAAUGGCCGGCGGGUAGGAUGAAUAGGAGAAGGGUGUGGGUCCGAGCUGCAGGCCCAGCGUUAGAGAGAGGGGGUAGGAAGGGGGUGCAUGAGAAAAGUAGGUCGGGGAUUUUUCGGAAAAAUUGAUUUUCUUUUGUAGAAUAAUAGAUUAAAUCCAGUUAUCACCAUUUAAAUCACAGAAAUUUCUAGGGAUGUCCAAAAUUAGUAAAACCAAUUUUGUUAGGAUUGCUUUAUUUUCCUUUAUGCAUUAAAAUUUUUAUACCCUAGGAAAAAUAAUAAAAAUUUAGGUAUUUGUUUAAUGUCUUUUCUUUAAGGUAUUUAAAUAAAUACUUAAUCUUUAUUAAAUGCAUAAAAUAUAGAAUAACAUUUUCAUAAUCACAAAUUAUUGUUAACUCAUAGGAAAUUAGGUUUCAAGACUAGAAAAUAAUUAUAACGUUUUUCUAAAAAUAAAAGAAAGAGCCUUAGGUAAGG